UAGUGUUCAGUCGAAAGAGCUGGUCUUGUGGUAUCUGUUUCUAGAGUUGCUGGUCCAAUAUCGAAAUUCAUAUUUUAUAAAGAGUGGAAAGUUUGUGUAAAUUUCGGUCGAAGUGGUACAAAAACAUUUUAUUCCUUUCAUUUUUGCACAACAAUCUCGACAUAUUUUAAUUAGUCAGAACAAAGGAAUUGUAAAUAUAGUAUUGUUUUGCACAUUCGUCCGUCCGAGUAAUAGAUUCGCUUUGUCUGUAAGUUCUUUUAAUCAGAUAUUGUCAAGAAAGACUGGGUCGUGGUUAUAUUUUUUUAAUAAAAACGUACGAGUACUAAGGUUCUAAGGACCACAUUUUUGCAUGAGUUACCGCGCCCAAAAUACAUCAGCUUUGAAACUUGCAAAAUUUUUGGGAAAAAAAACAGAGCGAUUUUCUUUUGUGAAUUCUAACGAUAUUUUCCUAACAAGCUAAUUCGACAUGAACAUGGGUUAGAGGAGAGAAAGAUAAAAAUAAAAAGAAAAAUUUAUCACUUACUUAGAUUUUUGUUUUGAUAAAGUUCUAUAAAUACCAAGAACUGUGCGUGAUAACAUUUUAAUGAUUUCAAAACAUCGAAAACGGUUGUGAAACAGUUUUGAUGAAAUUUUCUUUAAGAAAAUGGUGAAAGUAUGUGUGUGAGUGCGUUGAUGGUGUUCAUCGUCUAACUUGGUUUUAUAAUGUCAUGAAAACAAUUAACAUGAAAAUUCAUAGGCAUGUUGCAGUGCAUAUCGACCCCAAAAAAAUUCGUUGAAUUAAACUGGUUGUGACAAAUCAAUGCAAACACUUCCAACAAACGAUUUUACGGCAUGUUUACAACUAUCCAACCGAUGAAGCAGUCCACAAAGCGUUGGUAGUAGGGGAACUAUAUCUUAAAUAUAAGCGUUGUGAUCAUAGUUACUGCUUGUCUCGUUUAAUGCGUUCCUUACAAGAGCUCGUCUCAUCGGAAGUAACAAUAAAUCCGAACACCCAAAAAUUUGAAAGUGAAAUAUCAAUGAUGGCUGAACAUCUUUACAAUGUGCUGUAUUUAUUGUGUCCACCGGCUCCACCAGCUAUUGAUAUACCUAACGUGGCUGUUGCUGGAUAACAAUAGUUUGCAGUAAGAGAUCGGUAACAAUUCAUAGAAAUUUUAAACAAUUCAAAGAAUUCGUUAUCACUAACACUUCAAUGAUUCCUUAAAUUCCAAGAA
This is a long non-coding RNA of Bradysia coprophila, 1211 nucleotides long. RefSeq lists it as uncharacterized. The record is from RefSeq and is a predicted model, not a curated record. Lineage: Eukaryota; Metazoa; Arthropoda; Insecta; Diptera; Sciaridae.